AGUAAAAGAAGGAAAGGAGGCAUGGUUAAUUAGAGGAGAAGAAUUUCUUCCUUUCUGGGUCCACAGAAUCUGCAAAACAAGGUAAGGUUUCGGCUGCCCAAAUCAAGUUUUUCAAGAAUUAGUUUCAAUUCUUUCUCAGUUUGCUCCUCAUGCAGAAUUAGUUUGGACUUUGAUUUUUUUCUAUUUAAUUCUUUCCAAGAUAGCUCUUUGCCACCCAAAAUUGGUUGCCAUCUC
RNAcentral lists this long non-coding RNA (234 nucleotides) under Elaeis guineensis (African oil palm). Its description in RNAcentral is "long non-coding RNA (EGUI_LNC063958)". Lineage: Eukaryota; Viridiplantae; Streptophyta; Magnoliopsida; Arecales; Arecaceae. The record is from RNAcentral.